UGGGGAAUAUUGCACAAUGGGCGGAAGCCUGAUGCAGCGACGCCGCGUGGGGGAUGAAGGCCUUCGGGUUGUAAACUCCUUUCGGCAGGGACGAAGCGUAAGUGACGGUACCUGUAUAAGAAGCACCGGCUAACUACGUGCCAGCAGCCGCGGUAAUACGUAGGGUGCGAGCGUUGUCCGGAAUUACUGGGCGUAAAGAGCUCGUAGGUGGUUUGUCGCGUCGUCUGUGAAAUUCCGGGGCUUAACUCCGGGCGUGCAGGCGAUACGGGCUGACUUGAGUGCUGUAGGGGAGACUGGAAUUCCUGGUGUAGCGGUGAAAUGCGCAGAUAUCAGGAGGAAUACCGAUGGCGAAGGCAGGUCUCUGGGCAGUAACUGACGCUGAGGAGCGAAAGCAUGGGUAGCGAACAGGAUUAGAUACCCUGGUAGUCCAUGCCGUAAACGGUGGGCGCUAGGUGUAGGGGGCUUCCACGUCUUCUGUGCCGUAGCUAACGCAUUAAGCGCCCCGCCUGGGGAGUACGGCCGCAAGGCUA
RNAcentral lists this ribosomal RNA (530 nucleotides) under uncultured bacterium. Its description in RNAcentral is "bacterial SSU rRNA". It matches the Rfam family "Bacterial small subunit ribosomal RNA", at positions 355 to 896 of the family's 1533-position model. The record is from RNAcentral.